UUUGGGAGAAACUUAGAUGUUCUUAGAAGCCUGUAAUACGCUAAAGCCAUUUCCGACAUGGAUGUCGGAAAAGAUGCAAUGGAGCCACGAUGGCGACUUUGCAUCGGUGGCGGAUGAUGAGAUGGCUUGCACAGGCUUCUUAGAACAUCUUAGCUUCGUACAAC
Firmicutes bacterium CAG:882 is the source of this 164-nucleotide regulatory RNA element. NCBI's taxonomy places the organism in Bacteria, Bacillati, Bacillota. The record is from Rfam.